GUAACCUAGAAUUACUUAGUGUUCUUUUGAUACAUAAGCAAUACCUGAACACGACGUUCAGGUAAGCCGCCACUGAGCCACGGAUGGCGAAUUGGCGGCGGUUGCGUAUUAAGCAUAUAUCUUAAUUAAGAACACUUAGUAAUUCUUGGUUG
Molecule: non-coding RNA, 152 nt
Filed under: human gut metagenome
Also listed under: 1 other name
Source: RNAcentral